GACGAACGCUGGCGGCGUGCCUAAUACAUGCAAGUAGAACGCUGAAGGAGGAGCUUGCUUCUCCGGAUGAGUUGCGAACGGGUGAGUAACGCGUAGGUAACCUGCCUGGUAGCGGGGGAUAACUAUUGGAAACGAUAGCUAAUACCGCAUAACAGUAGAUAUUGCAUGAUAUCUGCUUGAAAGGUGCAAUUGCAUCACUACCAGAUGGACCUGCGUUGUAUUAGCUAGUUGGUGGGGUAACGGCUCACCAAGGCGACGAUACAUAGCCGACCUGAGAGGGUGAUCGGCCACACUGGGACUGAGACACGGCCCAGACUCCUACGGGAGGCAGCAGUAGGGAAUCUUCGGCAAUGGACGGAAGUCUGACCGAGCAACGCCGCGUGAGUGAAGAAGGUUUUCGGAUCGUAAAGCUCUGUUGUAAGAGAAGAACGAGUGUGAGAGUGGAAAGUUCACACUGUGACGGUAUCUUACCAGAAAGGGACGGCUAACUACGUGCCAGCAGCCGCGGUAAUACGUAGGUCCCGAGCGUUGUCCGGAUUUAUUGGGCGUAAAGCGAGCGCAGGCGGUUAGAUAAGUCUGAAGUUAAAGGCUGUGGCUUAACCAUAGUACGCUUUGGAAACUGUUUAACUUGAGUGCAAGAGGGGAGAGUGGAAUUCCAUGUGUAACGGUGAAAUGCGUAGAUAUAUGGAGGAACACCGGUGGCGAAAGCGGCUCUCUGGCUUGUAACUGACGCUGAGGCUCGAAAGCGUGGGGAGCAAACAGG
This 763-nucleotide ribosomal RNA is filed under the name uncultured Streptococcus sp. RNAcentral's name for it is "bacterial SSU rRNA". It matches the Rfam family "Bacterial small subunit ribosomal RNA", at positions 28 to 776 of the family's 1533-position model. Lineage: Bacteria; Bacillati; Bacillota; Bacilli; Lactobacillales; Streptococcaceae. The record is from RNAcentral.